CUUUUCCAAAAUGUCGUCGGAA
This 22-nucleotide microRNA is filed under the name Sus scrofa (pig). RNAcentral describes it as "ssc-miR-9817-5p". Lineage: Eukaryota; Metazoa; Chordata; Mammalia; Artiodactyla; Suidae. The record is from miRBase by way of RNAcentral.